GACGAACGCUGGCGGCGUGCUUAACACAUGCAAGUCGAACGGAAAGGCCCUGCUUUUGUGGGGUGCUCGAGGGGCGAACGGGUGAGUAACACGUGUGUAACCUGCUCUUCUUUUUGGUAUAACUUCAGGAAACUGGGGCUAAUCCCAUAUAGGAGCCCCCGCUCCAUUGUGGGGGUUGGAUAUUUUCGGCGGGUGGGGGUGGACUCGCGGCUUAUGAGUUUGUUGGUGGGGGGGUGGUUUACCAACGCUUUGACGGGUACCCGGCCUGAGGGGGUGGCCGGCCACAUUGGGACUGAGAUACGGCCCAGACUCCUACGGUAGGCAGCAGGGGGAAAUAUGGCACAAUGGGCGGAAGCCGGAUGCAGCAACGCCGCGUUCGGAAUGACGGCCUUCGGGUUGUAAACCGCUUUCGCCUGUGACGAAGCUUGUGUGACGGUAAUGGGUAAAGAAGCACCGGCUAACUACGUG
RNAcentral lists this ribosomal RNA (468 nucleotides) under uncultured bacterium. RNAcentral describes it as "partial 16S ribosomal RNA". It matches the Rfam family "Bacterial small subunit ribosomal RNA", at positions 28 to 507 of the family's 1533-position model. The record is from RNAcentral.